Long non-coding RNA from Frieseomelitta varia, 3792 nucleotides. RefSeq lists it as uncharacterized. Lineage: Eukaryota; Metazoa; Arthropoda; Insecta; Hymenoptera; Apidae. The transcript is spliced from 3 exons. The record is from RefSeq and is a predicted model, not a curated record.
AUCCCUUUUCUCUCAUCAAUGCGUGGCUCUGUCUUUUUCGUCCCUCCCCCCUCCCCCUCUAUCCUUCCCCCCAUCUAAUGGCACUAGACAAUCACAAUGAUUGAUGAUUAUUAACAUCCUGUCUUCUAUCGUGUCGGUGAUUGCCCGUAGCGAAGAACGUAUAAACCGGGUAUCAGUAACGCGUAGUGGAACACGAAUGUUACUGGAAUGAUCAAAUAUGUACAUACAUUAUCCUGCGUGUUAUAUUUUGAAAUUUCAUUGGCAGUGUGACGGUAUUCGUGUUGGCAUUUUACAUGACACGCACAAUAUAUAUACGUAUAUGGAUGUUGGUAAAAUGUUCUGCGUAAAUAUCUACGAUAGUUACUCUAAAGUUUGUCUGAAGUAAUUUUCAAAAAUCUAUGUAUUGAUGCUUCAUAAAAGUUAGCUGAGUAAAAAAGUAAUUUUUUAUGUAAAGUGAUGAAGUAAUUUUAAAAAAUCUAUGCAUUGAUGCGUCAUAAAAGUUAGCUGAGCAAAAAAGUAAUUUUUUAUCUAAAGUUACUCUAAAGUUUAUCUAAAGUAAUUUUCAAAAAUCCAUGUAUUGAUGCUUCAUAAAAAUUAGCUGAGUAAAAAAGUAAUUUUUUAUGUAAAGUAAUGAAGUAAUUUUUAAAAAUCUAUGCAUUGAUGCGUCAUAAAAGUUAGCUGAGCAAAAAAAUAAUUUUUUAUCUAAAGUUACUCUAAAGUUCAUCUAAAGUAAUUUUCAGAAAUCUUUGUAUUGACGCGUCAUAAAAGUUAGCUGAGCAAAAAAGCAAUUUUUUAUCUAAAGUUACUCUAAAGUUUAUCUAAAGUAAUUUUCAAAAAUCUAUGCAUUGAUAUGCAUCAUUAAAAAUUAGCUGAGUAAAGAAAGAAACAGAAAUAUGAAUUACUUAGAUUAGCGAAGUUAGUGACAAUUAAUGAUACACUAUUUGUUGAUUAUUUAACUUUAUGACCUCAAAUUUUCCGAAGAUAUUUUAGCGAAUCUUCAGAACGUUAUAAAACUAGAUGACUCUAGUGCGGCAUUUGAUAGUCGAACAAGAUAACGGUGUCGAGUGGGCAGGAAAUACAAGAUUCCAAUUUUCCGGCUCGCGUUUCCGGAUUCGAAGCGGUGUGUAGGUACACAGUUUGACAUAACUGUGUGAAACUUUGCCCAGUUUUGAAGUUGGAAAAAGAUUUCAAGUGUCUUUAAUACUGCACUGCGGUGGACGAUCUUCAGGUGUUUGGGGAGAGGGGAAAACCUAAACGGUAGAAAGGGAAUGGUGAAAAGGUUGGGUUGGCUGUGUGCGUUUGCCAUUUGGAUACAGGAACGCAGUUAUUAAUCGACGUUCAGCAGGAGGGAGAUUAGAGUGAAAAAUAAAUAUUUCAUAAUGAACAUUAUAUUUUGGACGUCGCUGCGCCUCGCAAACAGUUUCUAAUCUGUUGACCGCGCGUAAAUCUUCUUCAACAAUGAUAACGGCCAAUGAUGCUUAAAGAGAGAAAACAGAUUUCGCGUGUCGUAACAUCACGUUCGUGAAUGUAUCGCGCGGCUAAAUGUAUAACAUUUUGGCCGCGCGUUCUCGAGUCACACUCUCCGUUGUGUUAUGUAGUUCGUUUAUCGAACCUCCGGACAGAGCUUCUUCUUUUCUUUUUUAUCCGUACAAUGGAUUUCGCAAGACUGGCGUUUGUUGUCUGUUUUUAUUGAGGAAAGGAAAGUGGAGCACGAUGAAACGGCAACGCGUAAUAAUUUAGUUACUGGAACAAUAUAUGGUCAUUAAUACCGAAAAGGGAGGAUUGAAAAAGAAAUCAUCGGGGUUUUACUUCCUGCAGGCGACGCAGGAACUUUAAGCUUGAAUCUCUAAAAAGUCGGCCAGGGGAGGCUAAAGUCGCAUUAUUUCGCAAGCGAUUUAAAUCCUGACCUUCGUCCGUCGUUUUUCUGUGUAAAAAGCGGCGAGACUACUCGAGAUCCGUUUUCUACGAUUUCUGAAAUAACACGUGAACGCUUAUCGAUGCAUUGAUAGUUUUCGGAUUUGAUAAAGGUUGGCAAACAUCUACGCAAACAUCCACGCACUUGAUAUUACAAUUAUCUCAAGGUUACGCUGAUACCGGGUGGCAAACAUCACUGAAAUCGCCUAUUUAUUUCGAUUUGCGUGCGUAUAAUUCGUUGUACAAAGUUGAGUGCCCAACUGCGAUUGGUCUCGCCGGCGAAUCAAUUAUCGGCUCUGGGGAGAUCUGCCGCGAAGAACACACCGCAUUGCCGUAGCCGUUUUCUGCGCAAGUCGCCAGUUUUUCUCAAUAUAAGGCACAACAUUCGGUUGUAACCGGAUACUUGCGACUCUGUAAACGAGUCCGGUUUCUUUUCAAGCGUGAUACGUUCAGCCAUGCUGGACUUGUAAUUUCGACUUAACGUAGCUCGAUAAAUGAUCACCUGUAUCGGGUGAUUAUGUAACGAAGUUAAUUGUAUCGAUAAAAAUUAUUCUUGAUUGUGAUAAAGGCAAUUUUGAAAUUAAAGUAGGGAUGGAAAGAAUUAACUCUUGCCUUGCGAUUUUUGUAGCUACAAUUUUUUGAACUGAAACGUACUAUUUAAAGUACAGUCCAUAAAGUCUCUUUACAAUUUCAAAAAUUUAUUACAAAGGCAAAUGAAAAGACAGAUAAGUGGAAAUUAUUACGAAGCGAGACGGCAUAACUUUGCCAGCGUGUUCUACAAGCAAAAGUAAGAAAAAAAUGUUACACGAACAUAUGCUCUUAAAUGUUUUAUUAAGGAAUUAUAACUAAUAACACAAAAUGAUAAUGAACUGGUGUUUCAAUACAGCGUAUACGUUCGUCGACGUAUCAUCAGUGUUACAGAAACUCACAUAAUCACAUUGAAGCUCUGUAUUUACUAACAAAACUAAAUCCAACAAAACAGUAGACCUUCUUCUUUAUGUAAUAACAUUUCAAAAUGAAGUCCGUUAUUACGAAUACAGGAUUGGCAUCUAACAAAAAUCGACUCUAUCGCAUUAUUAAUGUCUUCCACAUUUUCUCUAAUCGCAGCAAAUGCGUCAUUAAUCCUCUGUACUAACUACUCACGAGUUAAUUUGUGCUUCAUAAACUUUUGCUUUCACAAUUCCUCACACGUAAAAACUCAUUGGCGUGAUGAUCUUGGAGACCAUGAGAUUGGUCCUUCUCGACCUAUCCAUCGUUGUGGAUAAUGGUCAUUUAUUAUUAUUAUUGGUACUGCGUAAUGUAUUGAACAACGUUUAAUUGAAUCCAUAAGUUUUGUCGAAGUAAUAAUGGAGUAUCUCCUGCUACUUCUGUUUCAAAUUCGUUUUCUAAGAAAUCCAAAAAAGACUGUGCCGUUAAUUUACCAUCUAUCCGGUAAAAAAUGAGGUACUAAACAUUAUUAGCUCAGAAAUUAGUGAUGAUAUCAAUUACUUCAUCAAGAAAACAAGAAUUUAUGUAAAUACAAAUAGAUAUUCAUAAUACGUUGUGUCGACGAAAUGCUAGUUCAUUAUCAUUUUGUAUUAUUAGUUAUAAUUCCUUAAUAAAACAUUUAAGUUUAUAUGUUCAUAUAACAUUUUUUUCUUACUUUUGCUUCUAUGACACGCUGGCAAAGUUAUGCCGGAAAAAACUGGGACAUCCUGUAUAUAUUCAAGUUUUUUUCUUUUUUGCCUCAUUUAAUACAUCUUUGUAUAGGCACCAUUAGUUGCACAAAGCACAUUAAGACAGUACUCGUCUAUUUUCAUCAGAUGUUCUUGGUCGUCCACUCCUCCCUUUAUCGAACACUGUUCCUGUCUCCAUAAAUUUCUUGUGCCAUGCACGAAU